This 113-nucleotide small nucleolar RNA is filed under the name Erinaceus europaeus (western European hedgehog). Its description in RNAcentral is "Small nucleolar RNA U3". It matches the Rfam family "Small nucleolar RNA U3". From Rfam's summary of the family: Small nucleolar RNAs (snoRNAs) are involved in the processing and modification of rRNA in the nucleolus. There are two main classes of snoRNAs: the box C/D class, and the box H/ACA class. The record is from Rfam by way of RNAcentral. Lineage: Eukaryota; Metazoa; Chordata; Mammalia; Eulipotyphla; Erinaceidae.
AAGACUAUACUUUCAGGGAUCAUUUCUAUAGUAUGUGCAUUAACUUUUUAAUUUAGGUAUGGUGCCAUUUACAAAAUCAAUGACCCAGGAAACUCAUGCUGAAUGUUAAUUGA